UGUCCCGCCAGGGGCACCGCUGGGUAGCUAUGUGCGGAAGGGAUAAGCGCUGAAAGCAUCUAAGCGUGAAGCCCCCCUCAAGAUGAGAUUUCCCAUCGCGUCAAGCGAGUAAGAUCCCUCGAAGAUGACGAGGUCGAUAGGUCCGAGGUGGAAGCGUGGCGACACGUGGAGCUGACGGAUACUAAUCGAUCGAGGGCUUAACCAC
This 205-nucleotide ribosomal RNA is filed under the name Parageobacillus thermoglucosidasius TNO-09.020. RNAcentral describes it as "partial 23S ribosomal RNA". It matches the Rfam family "Bacterial large subunit ribosomal RNA", at positions 2722 to 2925 of the family's 2925-position model. The record is from RNAcentral. Lineage: Bacteria; Bacillati; Bacillota; Bacilli; Caryophanales; Anoxybacillaceae.